AACCCUUCCCCUCCCCUCCCCUAACACUGUUCAUUGUUUAGGAGCUAUAGUAGCACCCUUCUUUCAGCAACGGCGCGUGCUACCGUCUCCUUUCUGACGCGCUCCCCUUCUCUCUCACGCCAGGUGAAGAGGUUCACUGUUCUCUCCCCUCACCUGCUUCUCGCGGAAGACGCCGCCCGCGCCACACCCAAGAAUGUUCGCACUCCACUUCUCUCCCUCUCGACGCGUCUGUGGAAGGAGGCCGCGUUCCCGCAACGCGGCGGCAGAUCUGCCGGCGGAAGGAGGAAUCGGAGCCGGUCCCGGUCGGCUGCGAGGAAGACGAAGUCGAGUUCGUGAACAGACAAUCCCAUUCGCGACCGAAGAUGAAGCGGCCACAAAUCUGCUUCCGCCGAGGUUCUUCGCCACCGCAUCCUUCGUUUCCUUCUCCGAGCUUCGACGGCUACCUCAGAUCCGGACUUGCCCGCUUGGAUUCGUCGUGUUGCGGGCCAAAUCUUCCGUUCUUGAGGGUCUUCUUCAAACUCGUCAUGAACCAUUUGCAAAAUAGUCUACAUGGAUCUGCUCCGGCGGUACAACGAUGUUAUUUAGCACGAGAGGGGAAGUCCAAUCCGUGUGGGAUUGCUCUGGCGCAGGCCAUUACUUGGAAUCCUAGAAUUCAGGCAUGUUUUUUUUUUGCUCAAUUCAACUGUCAUGUGCACUGCCACAUAAAUAUUAUUACUUAUGCCUUUACCAACAAUGAUUUCAAGCA
Molecule: long non-coding RNA, 745 nt
Organism: Zea mays
Lineage: Eukaryota; Viridiplantae; Streptophyta; Magnoliopsida; Poales; Poaceae
Exons: 2
Source: RefSeq, a predicted model, not a curated record